Molecule: long non-coding RNA, 3567 nt
Organism: Phycodurus eques (leafy seadragon)
Lineage: Eukaryota; Metazoa; Chordata; Actinopteri; Syngnathiformes; Syngnathidae
Exons: 3
Source: RefSeq, a predicted model, not a curated record
AUCCCAAAAACAUGCAUUGUGGGUGUACCACGCCGCUUGCCCGAAGAUGGCUGGGAUAGGCUCCAGCACGCCCACGACCCUAGUGAGGAUAAGCAGUACGGAAGAUGAAUGAACGAACUAGGGUACACUGGUAGAAGUAGUAAGUCACUCGCGGGGCAUGUUAGAGGUGAACUACUCGAAUUUGUUUCUGUAGCACACCGUUAUCAACUAGUGCACAGUUCUGCCUCACGAGUAACAAAUUUAGUUAUUGACGAGUAGAAUCGAACAAAAGCUCGAACGGCUUGCCUCACUGCAGUAAAGUAGUUCACUCUUCUUCGACGCAACAUACAUGACGUCACUGCGUCGUCCUUGCUGAGUGCUACUUUGCUAGCAUAGCAUUAGCAUCGCUGCACUCGGAGAGCCAAAACAAGCACACAUUGUCACGGCGAGUAUAUUCCCCUUAAACAGCAGCAAACGAUCACUCGUGCCGAGGCUAUUUAACACAACAACGCCGGUUCUUACGUGCCCAAAAGAAGAAGUUGUUACCGUCAAUUUUUGGCGUUCCCGUGGCCUUUGUCCGUCACCAUAAAGCUUCCGUGUAUAUAUUGAGCGAACAGUUCCGACCAAAAUGGGUUUUAUAUACAUAUGAAAAUAUUAUUCCAUCUAAAGCUAUUGGAGACAGAAACAUAUUAUUACAUUUGGUAUAAAAUAUGAAUAGAACAAUUUAGUGUGCGUAUGUGUAAACCUUUGAGUUCUGGUGGUUUUAGACAGUGACAUUUUAACAAUUUGUAAUCAGUAAAUCAUCCAAAAUCAGAGCUCAAAACCCAUCUGAGGUGGUCUUCCAGUCAUCCACUCGGGUUUUUCCCGCAAGGACCCCCACAUGCCCCCCAUGUUCGCAACGCUUAUAAAUGUGUACCCCUAAAUGCCAUAGGAAUUCAGAAGUUUUCUAUUUUUGAGAAAAAAAGGCCACUCAACUUCUUUCUAGAGCACUUUAAAAGAACUACAACCAUAGCUAUAACAAAUAUAAAAUAAUUAUUGAACAUAUACAGCACUAAAAUCAAUAAUAAAAAAUAUCAUAAUGAUUUUAUCCGUGACACCAGAGGUUAAGCAGUGUAGAAAAUGAAUGGCUGGAAUAUUGUCUUCUAAUUAAAAUAUAUAUCCUUCAAAACAAACUCUUGCAGUGCCCCUUGUGUGUCUUAAGACGAUACUGUCACAGUCCUUAUGUUUGGCCGCCUGCUGUUCCAAUGACGGCCCGUCGGUGGUCAAAGACAUAUUUUGGGCGGGAUUAAAAAGUCAUAAUCCUCUGGCGAUGAAGUUGAAUUUUUCAGUGAUAACGUCGUAAUAAUAUGAUAUUAAAGUUAAAUAUUAUCAUAUGAAGGAAUUCAUAUUUAGGCAAGUGAAUUUUAAAAAAUACAACUUUCUUUCUCAUAUUAUAACACUUUUUAUUCAAACAAAGAUGGCUUUAUUUGAACAUUUUUGUUUAAAAAAAUGCUCCCCAAAUGUUUUCUUUUGAACGCAAGUACAUUUCAGAAACUAUACUUUUGAAUUAUUAUUAUUAUUAUUUUUUUACUUUUCCUUAAGUGCAGAAAUGGAAUGGAAAUAGAAUUUGCCAGUCUUUUUUUUAUCUAUACUUCUGCUUAGUGUAAGUACUUUUGCCGACUCUGCUUUGGUCUACUCCAUCUGCAGUAAGACGAAAGUUUGAAAAGCGUUUCAAGUGUUCUCGUGCAAGGAUUGUAUGUUAUUAUUAUUAUUUAUUAUUUUUCAGCCGUUGCCCCUAUGAGUCCGCGCUUGGAAGAUAAUUAACUAAAUCCUCACAACAAACUUCCUUAAGGUGACUGUAUAAGAAUGAGAUGAAAAUAAAAGUCUGAUGAAGACAAACUGAACAAAACAAACCCAAUCAUUGGAUGAAUCCUGCAGGUCCAAGUUGUGUUUCUACAGCGGUCACUCAAAAAAAAACCUAAAAAACAACUUUAGUGGUCCAGGUGCACCCAGGCGCUCCUCCCAUGACCGCACGGGGUCAGAGUCCCCCAGGUCGGCAGUGAGUACACAAAGAAACCACUCAAGAUUGUUUUCAGUCGGUACGUCUCCAGUUUAACUGACACUUAUAAGAGUUGUGCUUCUGAAACUUCCGUUGACUAUCUGGCCGCAAACAGAAUAAGGAGUGUGUUUGUCCUAAAACAAUAAGUUGCUUUGACACUUAUUUGCUCUUCCUUGCAAGCAAACUUCAGACCUUCAAGGAGGAGUACAGCAUUUGGAUUAUUUUCAAUGAAGCGCACUCAAGUAAGAGGUUUUCAGUCCCCUAGAUCAUCUACGUCCUCAGUAGAGGAAGACACACACAAAAACCCUGCCUCAAAGACGAACGAUGGCAACCGACGAGACGCAGCAGAAAACAUCCAAGGCGGUAUAUUUCGCCACACUGCCUGAUAAAUACGAACCUUUGAUUGAGGAUGAAGUAAGCGAGGAAACGCCAGGGGAAAAGUUGAGGAGGAAGGAGAAGAGGAAGAGGAGAAGGAAGAAGUACAUUAGGAACGUGAAGAAAGCCUGCAGCUUCAGCUGGCGAUGCCUGCUGAGCGGGUUGCAGAGCCUGGCCUCCUCAUACGUCCUACCGCUGUCAGGUGUGGCUGUCGUGAUGGAGCAUCAGCGGUCGGCGGCCAAUAAGGUGUGAUGGCUCCACCCGAGGAUGGAGCCUCACUGGGACACUUCCUGGCAACUCUUCAAUGUACAAUAGUGUCCUAGAGUUGUGUUUUUUGUUUUGUUUUUUUCAUCCUGCAUGAAUUUGACUUCCUAAACGCCACAGCAGUUGAGUUCUUGUCACUUUUAUGUUUCACAAUGGAAAAGCUAUUUAGAUUAAUUUUUGCAAAAUAUUUCUAAACAGUUUUAAAGACUGGAAAUUUAGUUGAGAUAUUUUUUUUUUCUAAAUACAUUGCACAUAUUUAAAGAUGACUGAUGAAAAUGUGCUAAGACUGGGAAUUACGCAGUCCUGAAUUGUGGAGAUCUCGGGUUCUAUUUUUGUGACUAGCGUAAAUUCAGCAUUGCGUGUGGCGUAACUCUGUGAGGAGGUGGGUCAGAACCGGUAUUAGUAUUUUCUGGAUCUGCGUAGAGAAGCGCUUUUAAAAGUGGGACGUCUGUGCUGGUGUGGGCGUGUUCACAGCAGACUUCAACCCUGUACAAUCAAAGCAGCUCCUCUCGUUCCCUUUAAAUGCAGCGCACAAGUGGUGCACUGACAGUCUUUGACAUGGCGCAAGUAAGAAACUGAUUUGCUCGAGUCUGGGAGAUUAAAACGUACAAACUAUGUUUAUAAGGAAAUGCAAGCAGACUUGCACAGGCGGCUGAUGUACUGUAAAGUUGGCUCGUGAGGAGAUCACAGAUCUGCGCCGUGAAGUGGGCACUUGGAGACUGCCCCCACCUGCAAUAGUUUUUGUGCGUGUGCCCACCCCCACCCCACCAUGGCAGCACGUCAGCCAAUAUAUCAUUUAAAAAAUAUAAUAAUAAUAAUAAUGAUGCGUUCAAUGAAUUGUCUUCUACAAAUCUCUCUCUCUCUCUCUCUCGCUAUAUAUAUAUAUAUAUAUAUAUAUAUAUAUAUAUAGC